RNAcentral lists this long non-coding RNA (199 nucleotides) under Setaria italica (foxtail millet). Its description in RNAcentral is "long non-coding RNA (SITA_LNC004748)". Lineage: Eukaryota; Viridiplantae; Streptophyta; Magnoliopsida; Poales; Poaceae. The record is from RNAcentral.
GGUACUAGACAGCGCGUUGGGAUUUACACCGCGCGGCACGCAAUAGACCCGAACGUGCACGACUACGCACGCACGGGACCAGCAGAUAUUCGGAUCGCAUGCCUUCCGCUGCAACCGAUGAUCCAUCCACAAAACAGAGCAGCUCGCUCACACCUUUUUUCUUAUAAUCCAGUGGAGCGUAUGAUACUGCUAGCAUCUC